This 425-nucleotide RNase P RNA is filed under the name Rhodospirillales bacterium. RNAcentral's name for it is "RNase P RNA component class A". It matches the Rfam family "Bacterial RNase P class A". From Rfam's summary of the family: Ribonuclease P (RNase P) is a ubiquitous endoribonuclease, found in archaea, bacteria and eukarya as well as chloroplasts and mitochondria. Its best characterised activity is the generation of mature 5'-ends of tRNAs by cleaving the 5'-leader elements of precursor-tRNAs. The record is from RNAcentral. Lineage: Bacteria; Pseudomonadati; Pseudomonadota; Alphaproteobacteria; Rhodospirillales.
CCAGACGGCCGGAUGGCCGCUCUUGUCACCCCUCGGGGCGAUGGGAGAGGAAAGUCCGGGCUCCACGGUGACACGGUGCCGGGUAACACCCGGCGGGGGCGACCCCAGGGACAGUGCCACAGAAAGCAAACCGCCCGCCCGGCUCCGGCCCGGCGGGCAAGGGUGAAAGGGUGCGGUAAGAGCGCACCGCGCCCUCGGUAACGGGGGUGGCAGGGUAAACCCCACCGGGAGCAAGACCAAAUAGGGACGGCAUGACGGACCCUCGUCCUUCGGGGCCGGGAUGCGCCAAGCGGGUUGCCGAGCCGCCGUCCGGGUAGGUCGCAAGAGGCGUCCGGUAACGGGCGUCCCAGAUGAAUGGCCAUCCCCCGUCCCGGGGUUCCACUUUGGGGCGGGGACAGAACCCGGCUUACAGGCCGUCUGGCACU